This 279-nucleotide ribosomal RNA is filed under the name uncultured bacterium. Its description in RNAcentral is "partial 16S ribosomal RNA". It matches the Rfam family "Bacterial small subunit ribosomal RNA", at positions 337 to 608 of the family's 1533-position model. The record is from RNAcentral.
UCCUACGGGACGCAGCAGUAGGGAAUUUUCGUCAAUGGGCGCAAGCCUGAACGAGCAAUGCCGCGUGAACGAGGAAGGUCUUCGGAUCGUAAAGUUCUGUUGAAGGGGAAAAAGAGCGGAGAGAGGAAAUGAACUCCGAUUGAUAUUACCCUUCGAGGAAGUCACGGCUAACUACGUGCCAGCAGCCGCGGUAAUACGUAGGUGGCGAGCGUUAUCCGGACUGAUUGGGCGUAAAGGGUGCGUAGGCGGCCUGCUAAGUCUGGAGUGUAAGGUACCGGC